RNAcentral lists this ribosomal RNA (301 nucleotides) under uncultured bacterium. RNAcentral's name for it is "partial 16S ribosomal RNA". It matches the Rfam family "Bacterial small subunit ribosomal RNA", at positions 509 to 807 of the family's 1533-position model. The record is from RNAcentral.
CAGUCGCCGCGGUAAUACGAAGGGGGCUAGCGUUGUUCGGAAUUACUGGGCGUAAAGCGCACGUAGGCGGAUAUUUAAGUCGGGGGUGAGAUCCCAGAGCUCAACCCUGGAACUGCCUUUGAUACUGGGUAUCUUGAGUAUGGAAGAGGUGAGUGGAAUUCCGAGUGUAGAGGUGAAAUUCGUAGAUAUUCGGAGGAACACCAGUGGCGAAGGCGGCUCACUGGUCCAUUACUGACGCUGAGGUGCGAAAGCGUGGGGAGCAAACAGGAUUAGAUACCCCAGUAGUCCCUGUCUCUUAUAC